CCCUGGAUAGCUUAGUUGGUAGAGCGCUCCAGUGGAAAUGGAAAGAUCCCGGGCUCGAUACCCGGACCAGGCG
RNAcentral lists this transfer RNA (73 nucleotides) under Ixodes scapularis (black-legged tick). Its description in RNAcentral is "tRNA-Ser for anticodon GGA". It matches the Rfam family "tRNA". Rfam says of the family: Transfer RNA (tRNA) molecules are approximately 80 nucleotides in length. Lineage: Eukaryota; Metazoa; Arthropoda; Arachnida; Ixodida; Ixodidae. The record is from Rfam by way of RNAcentral.